CAGAGUUAAAAGUCAACCAAGGUGGUAACAGCAUCACUUGCAAUUAGCUGCUGUGUUAACCCAUGUUGCCUUUUAUACCAGCUGUGUGCUUUAAUAUACAGAAAAAUUGUUUUUCCAAACAGUCUUACUGUACACUGCCACAGCUGAAGAACACACAGACUACUUGGACCCUUAUUCUCCCAAAGGAACAUUGGGAACAUUGUAGCGGCUAUAAUUCAUGUCAGAAAGUUUAUUUUAAAUGUCUGAACGUUCGACACAAACAAACAGUUUCUAAUCAUUUUCCUAAUGAUCUGCCUAAACUGUGUUUUUUACUGACUUCUUUCACAAGCCUGUAUACCUGUAUAUUUUUAUAUUUCUUUGUAAAUUCUAGUUUGUAAUGAAGCCAUGGUUAGUCAUGAUCUGAUGCACCAGUCAAAAACCCAACAGUGGCAGUUUGGCAGUGCUGGGAUUUUUCUGAUCAGUAAGUCAGAAACUUAACCACUAAGCCAUCACCAUGGAGUCAUGCUGGAAUUCACAUUGCUUUCACAUAAUAUACACCAAAUAAUAACAGAAACAAUUUGUUCAGGAAACUGUUUCCUAGCUGUCUGUGCUCUUUGUUUUUUGUUUGUUUGUUUGUUUGUUUUUAAGCAUAAAAGCUGAACAGUAGGCAAGGUGGCUUAGUGGUUAGCAAAUAUGCCUCAGACCUCCAGGGUUGGGGGUUUGAUUCCUACCUAUGCCCUGUGUGUGUGGAGUUUGCAUGUUCUCUCCGUGCUUCGGGGGUUUCCUCCAGGUACUCUGGUUUCCUCCCCCAGUCCAAAGACAUGCGUUGUAGGCUAACUGGCAUAUCCAAAUUGCCCAUAGUGUGUGAAUGGGUGUAUGAUUGUGCUCUGCAGUGGGUUGGCACCCUGUCCAGGGUGUCCCCCCACCUCGUGCCUCGUGGAUAGGCCCCAGGCUCCCCGCAACCCUGUGUAUGAUAAGCAGUACAGGAAAUGGAUGGAUAGAUGAAUGAAUGAGUCUUCAUUAAUCACAUACAUAUUACAGUAGAGUGAAAUUCUUUUUUGCAUAUCAUACCAGCAAGUUAGCGUCAGAGUACAGGGUCAGCCAAGAUACAGCGCCAAAAGGACUUUGCUCAAGGGCCCAACAGUGGCAGCUUGACAGUGCUGGGGCUUGAACCCCCAACCUUCCCAUCAGUAACCCAGAGCCUUAAACGUCAUGCCACCACUGCCCCUAUGGAUGGCUGGAUCUAUCUGAACAGUAGCCAGCAGAAGGUCAUUUAACUGACCAAUGAAAUGACCUCACUUCACAAUCCACUCAUGUCACACACAGUUUGUGUGUCUGUGUGUGUCCUAAGGUUGAAAUAUCUAAAGAGAAAUACAGACCAUGUUAACAUGAUGGACAGAUGAGGACACUUCAGCAGACAGCAGAGAAAGAAAGAGACCAGGAGAGAAAGACUGAAACACUCCGCGGCCAAUUUCUCUGGACUGGACACUCAAGCCCGGUAAUUCAUGGGACAUCAAUCCUACCGUCCAUAUAAACACACCGACCAGAUGAGCAAAUCAGACAGAAUGACUCUUGCAAUCUAGUGGCCCUUUUUCAAGGACACUCUGUAACAGGGUAAAACUGGCCUGUA
Molecule: long non-coding RNA, 1609 nt
Organism: Ictalurus punctatus (channel catfish)
Lineage: Eukaryota; Metazoa; Chordata; Actinopteri; Siluriformes; Ictaluridae
Source: Ensembl